This 107-nucleotide transfer RNA is filed under the name Natronobacterium gregoryi. Its description in RNAcentral is "tRNA_Met_CAT". It matches the Rfam family "tRNA". Rfam says of the family: Transfer RNA (tRNA) molecules are approximately 80 nucleotides in length. Lineage: Archaea; Methanobacteriati; Methanobacteriota; Halobacteria; Halobacteriales; Natrialbaceae. The record is from RNAcentral. RNAcentral also lists the same sequence under 1 other name.
GGGCCCUUAGCUCAGUCUGGUUAGAGCGCUCGGCUCAUAACGCGGCCGCACCUCGUGCGGUUGUGUGAGACACCGAGUGGUCGAUGGUUCGAAUCCGUCAGGGCCCA